AAACGAACAAAAAACUGAUGG
RNAcentral lists this microRNA (21 nucleotides) under Arabidopsis thaliana (thale cress). Its description in RNAcentral is "ath-miR837-3p". Its record names the gene ath-miR837-3p. Lineage: Eukaryota; Viridiplantae; Streptophyta; Magnoliopsida; Brassicales; Brassicaceae. The record is from miRBase by way of RNAcentral.